UGAUUUUUCCCUUUGGCCAUAGCAGAAGCAUUCAUGUCAUGGCCCCUGUCAGAUUCCUAUGAAUCUGCGAAUUCUGCU
This 78-nucleotide ribozyme is filed under the name Gopherus agassizii (Agassiz's desert tortoise). RNAcentral's name for it is "Mammalian CPEB3 ribozyme (ENSGAGG00000010100.1)". It matches the Rfam family "Mammalian CPEB3 ribozyme". From Rfam's summary of the family: The mammalian CPEB3 ribozyme is a self cleaving RNA located in the second intron of the CPEB3 gene which belongs to a family of genes regulating messenger RNA polyadenylation. This ribozyme is highly conserved and found only in mammals. Lineage: Eukaryota; Metazoa; Chordata; Testudines; Testudinidae. The record is from Rfam by way of RNAcentral.